AGCGAACGCUGGCGGCAGGCUUAACACAUGCAAGUCGAACGCCCCGCAAGGGGAGUGGCAGACGGGUGAGUAACACGUGGGAACGUACCCUUUGGUUCGGAACAACUUGGGGAAACUCAAGCUAAUACCGGAUAAGCCCUUAUGGGGAAAGGUUUACUGCCGAAGGAUCGGCCCGCGUCUGAUUAGCUAGUUGGUGAGGUAAUGGCUCACCAAGGCGACGAUCAGUAGCUGGUCUGAGAGGAUGAUCAGCCACACUGGGGCUGAGACACGGCCCAGACUCCUACGGGAGGCAGCAGUGGGGAAUAUUGGACAAUGGGGGCAACCCUGAUCCAGCCAUGCCGCGUGAGUGAUGAAGGCCUUAGGGUUGUAAAGCUCUUUUACCCGGGACGAUAAUGACUGUACCGGGAGAAUAAGCCCCGGCUAACUUCGUGCCAGCCGCCGCUGUA
Molecule: ribosomal RNA, 446 nt
Filed under: uncultured bacterium
Lineage: Bacteria
Description: partial 16S ribosomal RNA
Rfam family: Bacterial small subunit ribosomal RNA
Source: RNAcentral